Molecule: unclassified non-coding RNA, 380 nt
Filed under: Hevea brasiliensis (rubber tree)
Lineage: Eukaryota; Viridiplantae; Streptophyta; Magnoliopsida; Malpighiales; Euphorbiaceae
Source: RNAcentral
GGGGUUUUUGGGUUCCUUCUGCCUUACAGUUUUUGACCUGAUUGGUUGUUGAAUUUGGGUGUUUUAGAUAAAUUAUUGAGGAGGGUCGUUUUUGGACAAUUAUGUUGAUAGUCCAUUUAUGUCUUGGUUCAUUGGGAUGGCUGUGUCACUUCUGAAUGAUCUGUGAAAUAGUGAUUGUGGAACUCAUUCUAUUAGGUGACAUUUCUUAUCAAAGAACUAGCUCUUUAGAUUCUCCUGCGAAUUUCUUAUAAUCGUCUUCUAACUUUUUCAAAACUUAGGCCAUUUAUACUUGGUUGUAAUACCCUGCACACACAUACACGGCCGCGCGCACACACGCACAUUAUUCUGAUUUUUGUGGAGAGUGUAUCUAUUAUAGACAA